RNAcentral lists this long non-coding RNA (483 nucleotides) under Cicer arietinum (chickpea). RNAcentral describes it as "long non-coding RNA (CARI_LNC001801)". Lineage: Eukaryota; Viridiplantae; Streptophyta; Magnoliopsida; Fabales; Fabaceae. The record is from RNAcentral.
AAAAAACGAGGUAACAAAUAAAAAAGGUAGAAGUGAAAUAGCAAGCUUAUCUUCUUCCAAUCCACACUCAUCCAUACACCGCAACAACCAUUUCAAUCCGAAAUAACUUUAUACUACCUCAUCAAAACAAAACAUGCAAACAAAAGUAUAGUACACAUGAGAGGAAGGAAAUAGACCAUGAAAGAUAAAGAUAGGAGAACAUAACUUCUGCUGAAACCUCAAUCUCCGACCGACUGUGAAGAUUCCUACGACCCCUACCUUCAACGUCCUCAAUGCGAACAUAUCUCCUAGUCAAUUGUGCACCACUGGCUUCAUCCUCCUUCUCCACCAAACAUUUGCCGAGACCAGUCGUCGGAAAACGCUCAAAGCACCCUCAACCACCACCUAUGGGCAGUCAUGUACCUUCUCUCUAUCUCUUUCAUUACCUUCUCUCUAUUUCUUUCCUUCUCUCUAUCUUCUUUUAAUUUUCCAAGGCUAUUAUUA